RNAcentral lists this ribosomal RNA (253 nucleotides) under uncultured bacterium. RNAcentral's name for it is "partial 16S ribosomal RNA". It matches the Rfam family "Bacterial small subunit ribosomal RNA", at positions 524 to 776 of the family's 1533-position model. The record is from RNAcentral.
UACGUAGGGCGCAAGCGUUGUCCGGAAUUAUUGGGCGGAAAGAGCUCGUAGGCGGUCUGUCGCGUCGGAUGUGAAAGCCCGGGGCUUAACCCCGGGUCUGCAUUCGAUACGGGCAGACUAGAGUGUGGUAGGGGAGAUCGGAAUUCCUGGUGUAGCGGUGAAAUGCGCAGAUAUCAGGAGGAACACCGGUGGCGAAGGCGGAUCUCUGGGCCAUUACUGACGCUGAGGAGCGAAAGCGUGGGGAGCGAACAGG